GCGGAGGAAAAGAAACCAACAGGGAUUGCCCUAGUAACGGCGAGUGAAGCGGCAACAGCUCAAAUUUGAAAUCUGGCUCUUUCAGGGUCCGAGUUGUAAUUUGCAGAGGGCGCUUUGGCGUUGGCAGCGGUCCAAGUUCUUUGGAACAGGACGUCACAGAGGGUGAGAAUCCCGUACGUGGUCGCCAGCCUUCGCCGUGUAAAGCCCCUUCGACGAGUCGAGUUGUUUGGGAAUGCAGCUCUAAAUGGGAGGUAAAUUUCUUCUAAAGCUAAAUACUGGCCAGAGACCGAUAGCGCACAAGUAGAGUGAUCGAAAGAUGAAAAGCACUUUGGAAAGAGAGUCAAAUAGCACGUGAAAUUGUUGAAAGGGAAGCGCUUGCAGCCAGACUUGCCUGUAGUUGCUUAUCUGGACUUUUGUCCAGUGCACUCUUCUGCGGGCAGGCCAGCAUCAGUUUAGGCGGUUGGAUAAAGGUCUCUGUCAUGUACCUCCUUUCGGGGAGGCCUUAUAGGGGAGACGACAUGCAACCAGCCUGGACUGAGGUCCGCGCAUCUGCUAGGAUGCUGGCGUAAUGGCUGUAAGCGGCCCGUCUUGAAACACGGACCAAGGAGUCUAACAUCUAUGCGAGUGUUUGGGUGUCAAGCCCAGACGCGUAAUGAAAGUGAACGGAGGUGGGAACCCUUUGGGUGCACCAUCGACCGAUCCUGAUGUCUUCGGAUGGAUUUGAGUAAGAGCAUGGCUGUUGGGACCCGAAAGAUGGUGAACUAUGCUUGAAUAGGGUGAAGCCAGAGGAAACUCUGGUGGAGGCUCGCAGCGGUUCUGACGUGCAAAUCGAUCGUCAAAUUUGGGCAUAGGGGCGAAAGACUAAUCGAACUAUCUAGUAGCUGGUUCUG
This 890-nucleotide small RNA is filed under the name Parastagonospora nodorum. RNAcentral's name for it is "eukaryotic LSU rRNA". It matches the Rfam family "Eukaryotic large subunit ribosomal RNA", at positions 50 to 959 of the family's 3401-position model. The record is from RNAcentral. Lineage: Eukaryota; Fungi; Ascomycota; Dothideomycetes; Pleosporales; Phaeosphaeriaceae.